Non-coding RNA from Pelobates cultripes (western spadefoot toad), 68 nucleotides. Lineage: Eukaryota; Metazoa; Chordata; Amphibia; Anura; Pelobatidae. The record is from the annotation of a GenBank genome assembly.
GUUUCGACCGUCUAGCGGUCUUUAUCAAGAUCAUGAUAAAGAUUAUGAUAAAGACCGCUAGACGGUCG